ACGUUUAUUUUAGGUUUCAAGUUAGUCCUUUCCGUCAAUUUUGUCACAUGUGGCAGUCAAUUUGCAUACGUGGACUGACACGCGGCACUUUGACACGCUGACACGUGUACUUUUCAAACGGUGUUAGUGACAAAACUAACGGAAAGGACUAACUUGAAACCUAAAAUAAACGUAAGGGACCAAAUUGAAACCUAAAAUAAACGUAAGGGACCAAAUGUGUAGUUAAGCC
RNAcentral lists this long non-coding RNA (229 nucleotides) under Trifolium pratense (red clover). RNAcentral describes it as "long non-coding RNA (TPRA_LNC011981)". The record is from RNAcentral. Lineage: Eukaryota; Viridiplantae; Streptophyta; Magnoliopsida; Fabales; Fabaceae.